UGCUCACCUCUCACUCACUCAAACCACUCUUCUCCCCACGCUUCCUCCUCAAGAACCGAGCUGUCACACAGUGCACUGUUCAUCACCUCAGCCGCCGGUGGAAAAAGGAGGGGAAAAGCAGAUCUGAUGAUAGCAGUGGCCGCAGAAAGACGAUCGACCCGCGGAUAAGACGCCAACCCUAGCGUUGACGAGUGAUGGAUCCGUCCAGCCGGAAGAGGAAAACGCGUAGAUCGGCCAACGAAGAUGACCCUCUCUACAAGCCGAAGAGAGCACACUCUCGGAGGGAGCGAGAUGCAGCUUCCGUCAGCGACUGCCAUCUCCCGCAUAGCGGGUGGGGAAGCGGCGCCAUCGUUCGUGCGGUUGACCACCGUCCUGGCCGGCGAGCAGAUGUAGAUUUUCUUCGGGGUAAAUGUUGCAAGAGCACGUUCAAUAUGAGACCAUUCCUUGGUCUAGGGCCAUCUUACUACCCUGCUGUUGCCGAUUCAGACAUGGGGGGCCUGCUGACCACGCAGAUAGCAAACGAUGCAAAGAAAAAGCACUACGCAUGGAUCCUGUCACGAUUCAACCCCCAUGACAUGAGUUUUAGGUUUAGGGAUGAGCAGAUCUGUAGGUUUAGAGUCUCUAACAUGGUUUCCAUCAUGGGGUUUAGAAAUUCCGGUGAAUCCGUAACAUAUGAUACUCCUCCGAACAGGGCAGAACUUGUUGAGCAGAGACAGGACAUAGUUGGCCUAGAGAGGAAAACAGUAGGGGGGCUAGCUGUCAAUGACAUACUGUAUGCAUUUCAGUAGAUGGAUCACAUGACCAUAGAACCAGAUGAGCGUAGGGCAAUGUCAGUUGCAUUCUCUUUAUUGGGAUCUGCUCUGGUCGUAGCACCAAACCAAAGAUAUCCUGCUGUACCAGAUGAGAUCCUACAGUGUGUUGUGCAUCCACAAGGCACUGGGUUCUACAACCUUGCAAAGUAUGGAUUUGAAAAACUUAGGGAAGCAGUACGGAAAUUCCAAGCCGAUGUCAGUGGAGGCAAGAAAACUAUAGAGCUUGGAGGAUGCCAGGUAUCAGCACAGAUUUGGGUGUUGGACAACAUGGACUUUGGCAACUCAAAUGUGACAUCUACACGCCUGCCGAGGUUAUCAGCCUACUCUGGUGACAAGAUAAAAGAACUAAUUGGUCUAGAUGAGCGAUACCCUAGGCGGUUCAAGACCAAACCAGAAAACUGGAAGGACAACAUCAACUGGGUUUGGCACUCCAUGAUGUCAGAUAAUCCACCAGACCUUGGCAUACAUAGCGUAAGCUGCAUUGCACUCACCGUUCCAAAGCAUCAUUGUUUGUACAAAUUUAACUAACUAGUGGCAUCAUCCUGUUCAACCUUGCGCAGCCACCCAUAGAGCUUGGGGCUAUCGUGGAUGACGGGGUUGAAAAGAUCUUCAGAGAUGCGGUUACAGCAUGGUGUAUCAAACAUCCAGGUUCCAUUUGUGAUGGACGUGCUGGGGGGAGGAUGAUGCCACCAUGGAGAAGUUCCUGCAGGGAAUCAAGGACAACAAAAAAGAUUUUGUUAGAAAUCUCAUGGAUGCAUUCGCUGCUACAAGAUCAAAAUCAAUGAGCACAUUGGCUACAACAGCUGCAGUGGAUAGUGGCACGCAUGUCGGUGCACACCCGAUGGCAAAUGAAACGACAAUUCCAGCCACUCAAAGUUCUAUUGUUGUUCAUGAUACGUCAGAGAUGGAAAAAAUAGAAAUUGCAGCAGGUGCAGAAAGCUUGAUUCAGGAGGGUGAUUUACCAGCACUUGAUAACACAGGUAGAAGUCCCUCAUUGAUUCGGUUUUCCUACCAGAGAUGACCCCUAAAAAUGUAUGAAGACAUUGAA
Non-coding RNA from Triticum urartu, 1860 nucleotides. Lineage: Eukaryota; Viridiplantae; Streptophyta; Magnoliopsida; Poales; Poaceae. The record is from RefSeq and is a predicted model, not a curated record.